RNAcentral lists this ribosomal RNA (253 nucleotides) under uncultured bacterium. RNAcentral's name for it is "partial 16S ribosomal RNA". It matches the Rfam family "Bacterial small subunit ribosomal RNA", at positions 524 to 776 of the family's 1533-position model. The record is from RNAcentral.
UACGGAGGGUGCGAGCGUUAUUCGGAAUUAUUGGGCGUAAAGGGCGCGUAGGCGGCUAAAUAAGUCAGUUGUGAAAGUCCGGGGCUUAACCCCGGAAGUGCGAUUGAAACUAUUUGGCUUGAGUAUGGGAGAGGGAAGUGGAAUUCCUGGUGUAGAGGUGAAAUUCGUAGAUAUCAGGAGGAACACCGGUGGCGAAGGCGACUUCCUGGACCAAUACUGACGCUGAUGCGCGAAGGCGUGGGUAGCAAACAGG